CUUAAAAUAGGCUGGAGAGAGUAUGAAGGGUUGUUUUGAUUCAAUGUUAGAAAGUUGAAUCUACUAUACGAGUGCUGGGGAUUUGCCAGCAUUGGUGUCUGUAUGAAGAUUUCAGCAUAAGCAUAAAUUAAAGUGUUUUUUUUUUUUCCUUCCUAGUUGGUGAUCUACAAUUAUAUUCAGUCUCUCAGAAGCUGGCACGAGAAAACUUUUACAGUGGAUUCAACGAAUGUAUCCCUUUUCCAGGGGAGGAUGCUAGAGAAAACAAAAGAUAAGGAACGUGAAGCCCUGGAAAUUCAAGUGAUUUGCCCAAGGUCACAGUCUGUGUUGCUGUAAAGUUUCCUCUUCGCUGGAUCCCAAAG
This 359-nucleotide long non-coding RNA is filed under the name Mustela putorius furo (domestic ferret). RNAcentral's name for it is "lncRNA (ENSMPUG00000028368.1)". The record is from RNAcentral. Lineage: Eukaryota; Metazoa; Chordata; Mammalia; Carnivora; Mustelidae.